RNAcentral lists this ribosomal RNA (839 nucleotides) under uncultured bacterium. Its description in RNAcentral is "partial 16S ribosomal RNA". The record is from RNAcentral.
UUGGUAUCAGCUUGUCUGCAGUUUUCUGCGUUGAGUGCUUAUUGCUACACCCUUUUUCUCCUACGCUUCGAUCUCGCCUGAACCCNUUNAUUCUCGGGUCAUCAACGGAAUGCAUCCCAGGAAUUUAGUAUAUUUUAGGAUCAUUGGCUCAGAAAAUAGAACUGCGUGGGCUGNGCGUGCCCUAAACCACAUUGCAAGUCUGAACUGAGAACGUUCCUCGACUGUUUCUGUGUUUUGGGACAUGCAUGCUAAACACGUUGGGCUGCGACUGCGUGUUGNAUGAUAACACCUGUUUGUGUGAUAACACGCAAUUGGCACGCUUNUGAAAUUAUUUGCGAGAUUAAAACANUAUCCGGCCUGACGCAGCCUGNUUUCGCUUAGAAUAACCCCAAUGGAAUUAAUUCCAGGUAUUAAAUUAUUUUUAUGGCCUACCCAGGGGCGUUUUUUUAUUAUUAUUAAGUUUAGGACAAANAUGGCGGUUAUNGGAAACCCNUUACCUUAUUCCGUUAUUUCGGGAAACACGAAANGUANAUUAGGACACCACGGAUUAAUAACCGAAUGGUGGGGGAAUUUUAGUGUGUAGGACCUUCCCGAGACACUCGGGUUUAAAACCGCNGAAUGUNAUUUCAAGGGCGCGUUAAAAGAGGUUCAUGCAGGGGCGNUAAAGNGCGAGAGGGGUAAAAACUUUUAUGGGGGCCCCGUUUUAACAUCCCCGAAAGAAUAUGGAUCUUNAACACCAGAAAUGUAGAGAGNCGAUAUUANAAAGCGACCAUAUAAGGUGGCAUAACCGUACUACGGAGAGGGAAAUCGGCGGGAACUUUAGGAAGUUACCAAAAUAA